GGUAUUUAUCUUCGGAUAGAGAGACCGGCGCACGGGUGCGUAACGCGUAUGCAAUCUACCUUUUGCAGAGGGAUAGCCCAGAGAAAUUUGGAUUAAUACCUCAUAGUAUGCAGAGUUGGCAUCAACACUGCAUUAAAGUCACAACGGCAAAAGAUGAGCAUGCGUCCCAUUAGCUAGUUGGUAAGGUAACGGCUUACCAAGGCUACGAUGGGUAGGGGUCCUGAGAGGGAGAUCCCCCACACUGGUACUGAGACACGGACCAGACUCCUACGGGAGGCAGCAGUGAGGAAUAUUGGACAAUGGGCGCAAGCCUGAUCCAGCCAUGCCGCGUGCAGGAUGACGGUCCUAUGGAUUGUAAACUGCUUUUGCACAGGAAGAAACAACGCUACGUGUAGCGUCUUGACGGUACUGUGAGAAUAAGGAUCGGCUAACUCCGUGCCAGCAGCCGCGGUAAUACGGAGGAUCCAAGCGUUAUCCGGAAUCAUUGGGUUUAAAGGGUCCGUAGGCGGUUUAGUAAGUCAGUGGUGAAAGCCCAUCGCUCAACGGUGGAACGGCCAUUGAUACUGCUAGACUUGAAUUAUUAGGAAGUAACUAGAAUAUGUAGUGUAGCGGUGAAAUGCUUAGAGAUUACAUGGAAUACCAAUUGCGAAGGCAGGUUACUACUAAUGGAUUGACGCUGAUGGACGAAAGCGUGGGUAGCGAACAGGAUUAGAUACCCUGGUAGUCCACGCCGUAAACGAUGGAUACUAGCUGUUGGGAGCGAUCUCAGU
Molecule: ribosomal RNA, 770 nt
Filed under: uncultured Bacteroidota bacterium
Lineage: Bacteria; Pseudomonadati; Bacteroidota
Description: bacterial SSU rRNA
Rfam family: Bacterial small subunit ribosomal RNA
Source: RNAcentral